AUACGAAGGGGGCUAGCGUUGUUCGGAAUUACUGGGCGUAAAGCGCGCGUAGGCGGAUUGGUCAGUUAGGGGUGAAAUCCCAGGGCUUAACCCUGGAACUGCCUCUAAUACUGCCAGUCUUGAGUUCGGGAGAGGUGAGUGGGAUUCCUAGUGUAGAGGUGAAAUUCGUAGAUAUUAGGAAGAACACCAGUGGCGAAGGCGGCACACUGGCCCGAUACUGACGCUGAGGCGCGAAAGCGUGGGGAGCAAACAGGAUUAGAAACCCUAGUAGUCC
RNAcentral lists this ribosomal RNA (274 nucleotides) under uncultured bacterium. RNAcentral describes it as "partial 16S ribosomal RNA". It matches the Rfam family "Bacterial small subunit ribosomal RNA", at positions 523 to 796 of the family's 1533-position model. The record is from RNAcentral.